This 721-nucleotide ribosomal RNA is filed under the name uncultured korarchaeote. RNAcentral describes it as "bacterial SSU rRNA". It matches the Rfam family "Archaeal small subunit ribosomal RNA", at positions 465 to 1182 of the family's 1478-position model. The record is from RNAcentral. Lineage: Archaea; Thermoproteati; Thermoproteota.
CCGCGGUAAAACCAGCUCCCCGAGGGGUUCCCACGCAUACUGGGCCUAAAGCGUCCGUAGCCGGCCCUGUAAGUCUGCAGUUAAAUCCGCCUGUAGACAGGCGGGUUGCUGCAGAUACUGCAGGGCUAGGGAGCGGGAGGAGCCGGGGGUAUUCCCGGGGGAGCGGUAAAAUGCGUAGAUCCCGGGAGGACCACCAGUGGCGAAGGCGCCCGGCUUGAACGCGUCCGACGGUGAGGGACGAAAGCUGGGGGAGCAAACCGGAUUAGAUACCCGGGUAGUCCCAGCCGUAAACGAUGCCGGCUAGGUGCUGGCCAAGGUUUCGGCCUUGGCCAGUGUCGAAGCGAAGGCAUUAAGCCGGCCGCCUGAGGAGUACGGCCGCAAGGCUGAAACUUGAAGGAAUUGACGGGGGGGCACCACAAGGGGUGAAUGCCUGCGGCUUAAUUGGACUCAACGCCGGGAAUCUUACCGGGGGCGACAGCAGGAUGAAGGUCAGGCUGAAGACCUUACCAGACGCGCUGAGGGGUGGUGCAUGGCCGUCGCCAGCUCGUGCCGUGAGGUGUCCUGUUAAGUCAGGCAACGAGCGAGACCCCCGCCCCUAGUUGCCAGCGGCCUCCUUCGGGAGGGACCGGGCAAACUAGGGGGACCGCCUCCGAAGAGGAGGAGGAAGGUGGGGGCUACGGCAGGUCAGUAUGCCCCUAAUCCCCCGGGCCGCACGCGGGCU